CCUCCAGCUCCUUCUUCUGUGUUCAUUGAAGACUGCCCGAGUGUGGCCUGGAGCUUCUGUGCAGUCUGCUCACUGGAAUGUUGUGCAUGAUGGUUUCAUUUUUUUGCAUGACUUCAGUUACCGUGUCUUCAUUUGAUGCUGGUUUUGUCAAAUGUGACUGUGCUGAGAUGUCGGGAGUCCAUCUGACAUGAGAUGAACUAACGUGAACUAACUCUACUGCUGCUCGUCCGUAGUGUUUAAUAGUCCUGAGGGACAUACAAAGGCAUAAGGUUAAAUUGAUUUUGGGGUUCAUCUCAAGAAGAGAUACAAACAUUGCUCUAACUUUCACAAAACUUGUCUGAAUCUAAUUUUCCUCCUCAAGAAGGAUAGCAGCAUUAGAAUUUAGGUGGUCUUCUAGUCCACACCACCAUGUCCUCUCUGUCACCAGUUAUGGUCGGUCACAUGAAGCCACGAGUCUGCACAUCAUGUAGAGCCUGCUUUUGCCUCAUAGCCCAGCCAGAGCCUCUGCAGAAGAAAGCUAUAGGGGGUCCAUGAUUUCUUUCUUUCUAGCAACUUAAAAGAGUUCCCCAAGUUUGAUGGCAUUAUACCUGCUCCCAUCACCUGCCUGCUGUUUCAACUCCUGUGCUGUUCAAGGCUCUCUGGUGGCUGCUGAGUUAAUUUCCUCUGGGGUCAUAGAAAACUACAACAGACCCUCUAGUCUACUAAUUAGUGUACAGAAUCGCCCUUUAGAUUAGUAUAAUUAGUGAGAUUUUUUUGAGACUUCUUAAGGAAGGGAAUGUGGGUAUAUAGCCCUGUUUCAUGGACAAAGAAAAACAGUUCCCUGAAGAAGAGGCCAGUCACACUGCUAAUAAGCAGCUCCUUGACGUCUCUAACUCUGUACUCAAUCUGCUUAAGGCUGUUUUAAAAGGCAAAAGAAAGCCUGUGUAGAGGCAUGUCCUCCUGUAACGCCUGCACUCUAGGGGUUAAGGCACGAACAUUUCCUCUUUCAGUAUUGUGGCCCUCUCUCAAAAACAGAACCAGAAAGGGGUGGCAGGGAGAACCUCAGAAUGAUAAUGCCAGUAGAAGCCAUCACUUUUUAGAAAAUGGUUAUGCUUCUGUCUUCUUAGGAAAAAUGUCAUCAAAAACUCAUGUAAGUGAUGAGGCCAAUCUGUAAUUCUGUCAGUGUGUCUCCAGUAAGGUUUUUAGGUCCCUCUUCUUAAUCUAUAACUGCCUUUUUUUUUUUUUUUUUUUUGUACAAAGAACAUAUUUUUGAGUCGGCUCGAGUUGCUUUGUAGUUCUGACAUCAAUGCUCAGACUCUCAGGAUUCAUUCUCUUCAAAGUCAUGUUGAGCUGCAUGAUGAAGAUGUGCACACCACAUAGAAUACUCUGUGGAGUAAACGCAUACACACUUUUUAUUCACUGGUUUCCAGUGUAAAGACAACACAGAGCAUGUGGCUGACUAAGACCCGAGGUCUGGGACCUUAUCACUGUAGAAUGCUCACUGCUCCUGUUCUCUUAACCCUGUGAGUGAGUGAAGAUUACCUGAGAUGAAUGGUGUCUCCACGCUUGCCCUCCUUACACGUAAGAACACGACUAUGCCAUAGCUACCAUAGCAGACCCGUAAGGACAAAUACACUUUUUACAGGUAAUUUUAGGUUUUGUUUGCGAUAGGGUCUCAUAUAUCCCAGUGUGUCCUGAACUACCUGAACUUCUGAUAAUCCUUCAUCUACUGGGACCAUAGGUAUGCACCACAGUUCAGAUUUUUUUGAGGUACUGGGAUCUGAGCCCAGGGCCUCCUCUAUGCUAGGCAAGCAGAAUCAAGUGACCUCUAUCCCUAGUGCGUGGUUCUUUAUUGGGGGUGGGGAGAAGGACACGUGUUGCUGUCUGCAGUGACCGAGAGGCCCAGGAAUACAUGGUACAUGGCACCUGACUUCUGAACCUUACAGUAUAGACAUCUGCCAGUAUUUCAGUAAUUAUUUCAGUAGCUAGUCUUUCCCUACCCCUUGUGCCAUACAGUUCUCUGUGACCUCACACAGCUGUCGCACUCCUAAUUCACACCGCCACUGUUGUUUUUGUUUCUCAAUAAUUGAUGCAUGCUAGAAUAAAAGUCCAUUUGGUCCAGCUGCUUCUAUCCAGUGUGAGCUUCAGGAGAGGCCCUUCCAUACCUGGAGAGCGUCAGUCAGGCUCCCUCUGAACCAGAUGCUUUGUUGGAGCUACUUAGGGAGUGCCUGGCCAGGCUUCGUCCUGACACAGAGGCAGGAGUCCUGACACAGAGGCAGGAGCUCGUUAGGGGGUGCCUGGCCAGGCUCGUCCUGACACAGAGGCAGGAGCUCGUUAGGGGUCUUUGGAGAGCCCUGUAGCCCUGCUUGAAUGAAUUGUCUAGAUUUAGACCCACUUAGUAUAACAGGAGCCCAGCUAGGUCCUUUACCUCUCACUUCUCUUAUACCAUAGAAGACUGGGAAGCUAUUUCUCCAUCUUCUUUCAUAAAACUUAGCUUUAAUAAAACAUUUAAAAAAAUAAAAAUUAAGAAUCAAAUUUAAUGUCAUUUUAAGUCAGUUACAACUAAAGUGGCAAAAACCUUUAACCUCAAAUGUGAAUUCUGAUAGCUUCUAAAACAAAUGGUUUGAGAAUGAGCAGACAACUAGCUGAAAAACUUCAGUCAGGAGGACAUACACCCUAGAACAGUAAAAUGUACUUAAACCCAGGAGAAACUUAUGAUGGUUUUGUUGCCAGUGCCUCAGUACCUCAGGAGUUUACAAAAGAGAUAGGCUUCAUCUCUGGAUGAUGCUAUAGCAAAAACACAGAUGGCAUUGCAAUGGUGUCGGUCACCAGAGGGGGACCAGCUCCACCAGCACCAGUAUGGAAGGCAUGGUUGCCACUGUACUUCAUAUUAAACCCCUAAUUGUGGGUGACAUUAGGGUCUCGGGCAAAGGAUAGUAAGCAGAGCCUUUCCUCAAGUCGCACUGUAGAUUUCUGAUAACACUAAAAAUCAGAGGUGAAGAAGUGAAAGGUUACCAAGGAUGAGGACGGUGUCCUAGUAUUUUAGAGUAUCAGUCAUGGUAAAUCUUGAGUGUAAAUCUGGCAGUUUGUAUGAUUUUUGGUCUAGUUUAAGUAUUUGUUCUCAUGAAUUUUUGUGUCAUUAACCUUACAUAAACUCCUCAUUGCAUGUUUUAUUAA
This is a long non-coding RNA of Rattus norvegicus (Norway rat), 3156 nucleotides long. RefSeq lists it as uncharacterized. Lineage: Eukaryota; Metazoa; Chordata; Mammalia; Rodentia; Muridae. The record is from RefSeq and is a predicted model, not a curated record.